UGCUUCCAUCUGGAAGAAUCUGGAGACAGGUGCUGCAUGGCUGUCGUCAGCUCGUGUCGUGAGAUGUUGGGUUAAGUCCCCGCAACGAGCGCAACCCUUGCCUUUAGUUGCCAGCAGUUCGGCUGGGCACUCUAAAGGGACUGCCGGUGUUAAACCGGAGGAAGGUGGGGAUGACGUCAAGUCCUCAUGGCCUUUAUGACCAGGGCUACACACGUACUACAAUGGCCGAUACAAAGGGCAGCGACACUGCGAGGUGAAGCCAAUCCCGUAAAACCGAUCGUAGUCCGGAUCGCAGUCUGCAACUCGACUGCGUGAAGUCGGAAUCGCUAGUAAUCGUGAACUCACGAAUCGCACGUGAAUAACGUACCGGUCU
This 373-nucleotide ribosomal RNA is filed under the name uncultured Desulfobulbus sp. RNAcentral describes it as "bacterial SSU rRNA". It matches the Rfam family "Bacterial small subunit ribosomal RNA", at positions 1012 to 1377 of the family's 1533-position model. Lineage: Bacteria; Pseudomonadati; Thermodesulfobacteriota; Desulfobulbia; Desulfobulbales; Desulfobulbaceae. The record is from RNAcentral.